AAGUGCAGGAGGGGAGCUUGGUCAGGAUGUCCUGUACACCAGGUGUGGACAGUCAGAGAAAAGGUCUUAAGCAUUCAGGUCUGGUUGGCACAGGUGAGGUCGCUGGUGGCUGUGGGCACCCCGGACUACCUGUCUCCUGAGAUUCUGCAGGCUGUUGGUGGAGGGCCUGGGGCAGGCAGCUACGGGCCAGAGUGUGACUGGUGGGCACUGGGCGUGUUUGCCUACGAAAUGUUCUAUGGGCAGACACCCUUCUACGCCGACUCCACAGCCGAGACGUAUGCCAAAAUUGUGCAUUACAGGGUAAGCAUGGGCACCAUGUAGGGAGGUACUUAUGUGUGUAAGUGUUUUCCCUGCAUGUUUGUCUGUGCCCUGAGUCAGUGCCCGUGAAGGUCUGAGGGCAUGGGAUCCCCUGGAACUGGAGUCACAGACUGCUGUCUGCUGCCAUGUUGAGUGCUGGGAAACAGAACCAUGACUGCUCAUAAAGGACUGAGCCAGCUCUGCAGCCCAGGGCUAAGUCCUAAGUUUCUCUCUCAAUAGGAACACUUGUCUCUGCCUCGGGCAGACAUGGGUGUCCCUGAGGAAGCUCAGGACCUCAUUCGUGGGCUGCUGUGUCCUGCUGAGAUAAGGCUCGGUAGAGGUGGGGCAGGUGACUUCCAGAAGCAUCCUUUCUUCUUUGGCCUUGAUUGGGAGGGUCUCCGGGACAGCGUGCCCCCCUUCACACCAGACUUCGAGGGUGCCACAGACACAUGCAAUUUUGAUGUGGUGGAGGACCGGCUCACUGC
RNAcentral lists this long non-coding RNA (782 nucleotides) under Rattus norvegicus (Norway rat). RNAcentral's name for it is "long non-coding RNA NONRATT000421". Lineage: Eukaryota; Metazoa; Chordata; Mammalia; Rodentia; Muridae. The record is from RNAcentral.